This 409-nucleotide ribosomal RNA is filed under the name uncultured bacterium. RNAcentral's name for it is "bacterial SSU rRNA". It matches the Rfam family "Archaeal small subunit ribosomal RNA", at positions 338 to 747 of the family's 1478-position model. The record is from RNAcentral.
GGCGCGAAAACUUUACAAUGCCGGCAACGGCGAUAAGGGGACCUCGAGUGCCAGGUUACAAAUCUGGCUGUCGUAAUGCCUAAAAAGCAUUUCAUAGCAAGGGCCGGGCAAGACCGGUGCCAGCCGCCGCGGUAACACCGGCGGCUCGAGUGGUAACCGUUAUUAUUGGGUCUAAAGGGUCUGUAGCCGGCCGGAUAAGUCUCUUGAGAAAUCUGGCAGCUUAACUGUCAGGCUAUCAGGGGAUACUGUCUGGCUCGAGGCCGGGAGAGGUGAGAGGUACUUCAGGGGUAGGGGUGAAAUCUUGUAAUCCUUGAAGGACCACCAGUGGCGAAGGCGUCUCACCAGAACGGACCUGACGGCAAGGGACGAAAGCUAGGGGCACGAACCGGAUUAGAAACCCCAGUAGUCC